GAGUUUGAUCAUGGCUCAGGACGAACGCUGGCGGCGUGCCUAACACAUGCAAGUCGAACGGAAACAGCAUGAAGCUUGCUUUGAGCUGUUUUAGUGGCGGACGGGUGAGUAACGCGUGAGUAACCUGCCUUUCAGAGGGGGAUAACGUCUGGAAACGGACGCUAAUACCGCAUGACAUAUUUUGGUCGCAUGGCCGGGAUAUCAAAGGAGCAAUCCGCUGAAAGAUGGACUCGCGUCCGAUUAGCUAGUUGGUGAGAUAAAGGCCACCAAGGCGACGAUCGGUAGCCGGACUGAGAGGUUGAACGGCCACAUUGGGACUGAGACACGGCCCAGACUCCUACGGGAGGCAGCAGUGGGGGAUAUUGCACAAUGGAGGAAACUCUGAUGCAGCAACGCCGCGUGAGGGAAGACGGUUUUCGGAUUGUAAACCUCUGUCCUUGGUGACGAAAAAAAUGACGGUAGCCAAGGAGGAAGCUCCGGCUAACUACGUGCCAGCAGCCGCAGUAAC
This 508-nucleotide ribosomal RNA is filed under the name bacterium enrichment culture clone ALO1_GLFRUDD03G7PX1. RNAcentral's name for it is "bacterial SSU rRNA". It matches the Rfam family "Bacterial small subunit ribosomal RNA", at positions 9 to 524 of the family's 1533-position model. The record is from RNAcentral.